Molecule: regulatory RNA element, 147 nt
Rfam family: speF leader
About the family: This family is a putative regulatory RNA structure that is found upstream of the speF gene encoding ornithine decarboxylase in Agrobacterium tumefaciens and other alpha-proteobacteria.
Source: Rfam
CGCUGGUCCUCCAAAGACCAGCACCGAAGAGGCUUGUCCUUCAUUGCCGGGCGUGCGGGGUCUUCCCAAGCGACGGUUCCAGGGUCCGGACGAUCUGUUCGGCGACUCAAGGCGUCUCCAUCGCGCCUCGAUUCGUUGACGCAUCAC